GAUUGUUUUUUUUCUUGCAGUUAGUUCUUACAGGUUUAACACGUGCAGUACAUAUAAUUCAAGCUCAGGUGGUAUGGCAUAUGGUUUUUGCAGUAUCUGAAAUUGAAAAUCCAUCAGUGUGCGACCGCAUAGAGUGCUAUUCUAUCAGCCCGAAGGGAAGAUCUUCCAGGCAGGAAAAGAAGGAGAGGAAACGGAUUCCUGCUCUGCUCUACUGAAACUAUUGCCGGGCGAAUGCGGCAACGGACAGGAGCACACUGCCUCUUUCCUCUGAUAUCACCAAGGGGCCAAGUCGAAGGCUCGAGUAUAGAUUCCCUAUGCUCAUGUGAACGGCCGGCCCGUAGAUCUAAAAGGAUCCAAAAAAAGACUGGAUAUGAGAACAACUAACUUUUUUUGUUGAUGGUGCAUUGGAAAAGAGUUU
Triticum dicoccoides is the source of this 418-nucleotide long non-coding RNA. RefSeq lists it as uncharacterized. The transcript has 3 exons. NCBI's taxonomy places the organism in Eukaryota, Viridiplantae, Streptophyta, Magnoliopsida, Poales, Poaceae. The record is from RefSeq and is a predicted model, not a curated record.